CUGCAAAUAUGUAGUUUAUAACAGAGUGAUAUCGGAUCAAUGUCGAAGUUUGCGCCCUUCGACAGAUCAAGUGAUUCGGCUGACGAGGGAUCGGAUCAGCCGAGUUCGAAAACCUUUACUAUAGAAUCGGUUCGGCUGGAUGAGCCAAAUAUAUGAACUGUGCAAGAAUUGAAAUCGGCCGAAGAGCCGAAUGACUAAGAACGUAAGAAUUUGUCGGCUGUGCAGGGAUCAAUGUUGGCAGAAGAGUCGAAUGAAAGAAGUACACAGUUACUGGUCGGCUGAAAGAGCCGAAUAAAUGAAAUACACAAUGACUGGUCGGCUGAAGGAGCCGAAUGCCUAUAUAUAUAUAUUAAUAAAACAGAGUGUGCCCGAAGGGCAUACAGACUCUGCAAAUAUAUAGUUUACAACGGAGUGAUGCCCGUGGGGUAGACAGACUCUAGGGUUCUACUUAAAAGCUACUCCUAGGAAAGCAGUAAAUGCGAAAAAGAAAAGAUUACAUUUAGACUACUGCUAGAAAGCAAUAAAUGCAGAAAAGGAAAGGUAUGAAAAUGCGGUGGUCUUCUCGUUCAUGGGAGAGAAAGACCCUUAGUACAGGCUUUGAAGUUACUAUUUAUAGUGAUGUCUUCUCAGCCCACAUUAUUUAUCGGUUGAAAGUAGUGGGGGGAGUGAUUGUAACCAUGAUCGUGGAAGUUAUGCCCACUUCUCAUGGAAGUUACGCCUCCACUUCUCAACCGGUCCCGCCUAAACGCUCUUGACUUUCAGGCGCUUUAUUGCCGACUCCUGGUGUACCACGUGUCCUUAUUUUUUUGGCUCAUACGUGGGCUAAGUCAGCGUGUUAAUUUUAAUUUUGGCAUCAACAAUGCCCCCCCAAUAGUCUUUCGAAUAAACAUUCGGAUGACUAUUGGUGCCAAAUCGACUACUCAAAUGACACAGCCGAGACCCAAGCUUUAGUUCGCUGGUCUUGGUCGGCUUAUAGAAAACGGCUCUUUAUCGUCCCAGCCGUAUAUACCUCGGCUUCAUCAGCCGAUUCUUUACUUUUACUUGAUUGGUUCGACUCUUUUUGAACCGAAUGUUCUUCUAUCAAGGAUUUCUCCUUGAAGAAAGUGGCUCUUUACUAGCCGCAUAUACCUCGGCUUCAUCAACUGAUUCUUCACUUUCACUCGAUUGGUUCGGCUGUUUUUGAAUCGAUUGUUCUUCUACCGAGGAUUUCUCCUUACCUUUACUUUGAUUUUCAUAUCGGCUCCAUUGCAGCCGAUCGUCCUUACUUUCCUUUUGGAAUUGCUCAUAUUGGGCAACUCGAACACCUAGAUCAAAUAGGUUAGAAAAAUACUUAUCUUCAAAAUGAUCUUUUAUCUUAAAAUGUAGACCAUUUAACGCCAUUUUGGUGAACUCUAAUUCCGGCAUUCUCAUAAAGCACCGGAUUUUGGCUAUUUUGAAACAGUUCAAAUACUCUUUGAUCGUUUCACCUUGCUUUUGUCGGUAUAAAGUUAAGAAGGCGACCGAUAAUUGUGACUCCGACCUAUAGAAUCGCUCAUGAAAUUUUCUUUUCAAUUCGUCAUAAUCUUGGACGGAAUUGGCUGAUAAACUUGUAUACCAAGUAAACGUCGUUUUAGUUAACGACGUGUUAAACAAUCUUAAUUUUAAAAAUGGAUCUGUCGUGGCUUCCUGGCACUGUGCCGUGAACCGUGCCACAUGUUCGACCGUGUUUUCGGUCUCAUUCCCAGAAAAUUUAUCAAAUUUUGGCAUUUUUCAGUUUGCCGGGUAAGGAUGCUUUGUGUCUAUAUUUGCAGGAUAAGGUAAUCUAAAUAUAGGCCGCAUUGCCGGCCUUGUGCCUACUCCAAAAGUAUUUCGGAUGGCUUCUUCGAUUUGCGCAUAUAUUUCAUUAUUGUUUGCUUGCAAAGGAACUUGUGCUUGUGCUGCAUUCGUUUCUUGUAAUGGUCUGAAGUUAUGUGCUAUGGGAUUUCCUCCUUGAAUAUUUGGAGCCUGCCCCCCAGCUCUAGCCCCUAUAUUUUGAGGCUGGUAUGUUGCCAUCGCCGGAGGUGGUGGCAAUCCCCAUGCAAUUUUCGGCUGUUGACCGGUAUUGACGACGGCCGGUCUGUAAGCCGCUUGGAAUGGUGCCCCCUGGUAUUGGGGCUGUCCAUUUACCGGUGUCAUAGGAUUUUGCAACACUGGUGUCAUUAUAGGCCCUUGUAAGCCUAUCAUUGGUUGCUCAUUUCGAGUCAAUAAUUGCCCUAUUCGGGCAAUAUUUUCAUUGUAGGCCGUGAUGGCGGCCAGCACGGGUCUAAUCGAGCGAUACUUUAAUGGAUAUUUUGAUCUAAAGUUUGCAGGACUCGGGCCAUUUGGCCGAGUGCCUGAGUUAGACUCGGCUCUUGAUGAGCCGACUGUCCACUAGUCUCGCCCUCAACUGGCAAAACUGCUUGACAUUCGCCAGUAUUGUCUUAAAAUGUGUCCCACCGGACGUGCCAAAAAUUAUUGGUAGUCGAAUUUUUCGACCCUUGACCCGGUCAAAGAUCCUUCUCGGGAAGCGCGUCGGGGUGAGGAACGGCUGCGGAUAGUGACCCUCGAAGUUUGCGCCCUUCGACAGAUCAAGCAAUUCGGCUGACGAGGGAUCGAGCCAGCCGAGUUCGGAAACCUCUACUUUUGAAUCGGUUCGGCUGGAUGAGCCGAAUGUGCGAACUGUGCAGGGAUCAAUGUUAGCAGAAGAGCCGAAUGGAAGAAGUACACAGUAACUGAUCGACUGAAAAAGCCGAAUACCUAUAUAUAUAUAUUAAUAAAACAGAGUGUGCCCGAAGGGCAUACAGACUCUAUAAAUAUGUAGUUUACAAUAGAGUGAUCGGAUCAAUGUCGAAGUUUGCGCCCUUCGACAGAUCAAGCGAUUCGGCUGACGAGGGAUCGGAUCAGCCGAGUUCGAAAACCUUUAUUGUAGAAUCGGUUCGGCUGGAUGAGCCGAAUGUAUGAACUGUGUAGGAAUUGAAAUCGGCCGAAGAGCUGAAUGACUAAGAACGCAAGAAUUUGUCGGCUGUGCAGGGAUCAAUAUCGGCAGAAGAGCUGAAUGGAAGAAGUACACAGUUACUGGUCGGCUGAAAGAGCUGAAUAAAUGAAAUACACAAUGACUGGUCGGCUGAAGGAGCCGAAUGCCUAUAUAUAUAUAUAUUAAUAAAACAGAGUGUGCCCGAAGGG
RNAcentral lists this long non-coding RNA (3180 nucleotides) under Ananas comosus (pineapple). RNAcentral describes it as "long non-coding RNA (ACOM_LNC010553)". The record is from RNAcentral. Lineage: Eukaryota; Viridiplantae; Streptophyta; Magnoliopsida; Poales; Bromeliaceae.